CAGCUGUGAUGAGCAUAGAAUUUUUUUAAUCUGAAUGUGACCGUGUGGCACUCAGAGCUUUUUAACCCUGAGCAGU
Molecule: small nucleolar RNA, 76 nt
Organism: Bombina bombina (fire-bellied toad)
Lineage: Eukaryota; Metazoa; Chordata; Amphibia; Anura; Bombinatoridae
Source: RefSeq, a predicted model, not a curated record